GUCAAUAUAUAUUGGGCGUUUUUCUUUUUUAGUUCAGAGCAGAGCUCGAACUGUCAAAAAAAUAAUUGUGUUUCUUUUUGAGCUCUGAGCGUUCAGAGCUUCAAAUUCGUGUUUCUUUUUUAGUUCUGAACAUGUUCAGAGCGCGCUCUGUGAGCUCAGAAUAAAAUAACAGAGUAAACGGAGUAAAAUGCUGAGCACAAACAAUUUGAUAUCUGAAAGCCGGGAAAUAAAAAAAAAUCAUCAUCAAAACAAUAAAAAUGGCGGAAGAGGCUGGUUGCUCUGGUGUAGAAGGCGUCAAAUGGACCAACGAUAUGACUGUUUUUCUGAUUAAUUUGAUUAAGGAGAAUUUUGAACGCCUUCAAACUAACAUAAAAAAAACUAUAUACCAAAAAAUGACAGUUUAGUGCUCAAGUUGUUUCAUAAUUAAAUCAGAGAGCUCUGAACAUACUCUGCUCAGAACUCUACUCUACUCUACUCUGUUCGCUCAGAGUAUGCUCAGAGCUCAGCUCUGAACUAAAAAAGAAAAACGCCC
Long non-coding RNA from Eupeodes corollae, 532 nucleotides. RefSeq lists it as uncharacterized. NCBI's taxonomy places the organism in Eukaryota, Metazoa, Arthropoda, Insecta, Diptera, Syrphidae. The record is from RefSeq and is a predicted model, not a curated record. The transcript has 2 exons.